This 468-nucleotide ribosomal RNA is filed under the name uncultured bacterium. Its description in RNAcentral is "partial 16S ribosomal RNA". It matches the Rfam family "Bacterial small subunit ribosomal RNA", at positions 28 to 507 of the family's 1533-position model. The record is from RNAcentral.
GACGAACGCUGGCGGCGUGCUUAACACAUGCAAGUCGAACGGCAAGGCCUUGCUUUUGUGGGUUGCUUGAGUGGCGAACGGGUGAGUAACCCGUCAGUAACCUGCCCUUUAGUUUGGUAUAACUUCAGGAAACUGUGGCUAAUACCGGAUAGUAGCUCCUGUUGCAUGGUGUGUGUUGAACAGUUUCGGCUGCUGGGUUUGGAUUCGCGGCUUAUCAGCUUGCUGUUGGAGUAGUGGCUUACCAAGGCGUUGACGGGUAGCCGGCCUGAGAGGGUGACCGGCCACAUAGGGACUGAGAUACGGCCAAGACUCCUACGGGAGGAAGCAACGGGGAAAAGUGCAAAAAGGGCGGAAGCCUGAUGCAGCAACGCCGCAGGAGGGAUAACGGCUUUCAGGUGGUAAAGAGAUUGCGACUGGAAAGAAGAGUGGGUGACGGUAAAGGGUAAGAAAGGAAAGGCUAACUACGUG